This 258-nucleotide unclassified non-coding RNA is filed under the name Hevea brasiliensis (rubber tree). The record is from RNAcentral. Lineage: Eukaryota; Viridiplantae; Streptophyta; Magnoliopsida; Malpighiales; Euphorbiaceae.
AAAGUUUGAAAAUGUUAAGAAUGACUCUAAACAUUACCUCUUUCCGGAACAGCUCCCCGGACACCUAGAUUGAGCUGAAAACUCGAUAUUGAGUGCCUACGAGCUAUCACCAAUCCGAUUGUCAUAUAAUUAUAUUUAACUUAUGAGCAUCGAAAAAGAUAAAAAAUCUCACUAAACAAUCUAAAUCAUUUGUUGGAGUCCAAUUGGAGAGAGGUCAAUCUCGUCUCGAAGGUUUAGUUGUGCUGAGUUCAUCGAUCG